RNAcentral lists this ribosomal RNA (400 nucleotides) under uncultured bacterium. RNAcentral's name for it is "bacterial SSU rRNA". It matches the Rfam family "Bacterial small subunit ribosomal RNA", at positions 356 to 772 of the family's 1533-position model. The record is from RNAcentral.
AAGGAAUCUUCCACAAUGGGGGCAACCCUGAUGGAGCGACACCGCGUGAAGGAUGAAGGCCCUCGGGUCGUAAACUUCUUUUAUAAGUGAGGAAUAUGACGGUAACUUAUGAAUAAGGGUCGGCUAACUACGUGCCAGCAGCCGCGGUCAUACGUAGGACCCAAGCGUUAUCCGGAGUGACUGGGCGUAAAGAGUUGCGUAGGCGGUUAGUAAAGCGAAUAGUGAAAUCUGGUGGCUCAACCAUCAACACAUUGUUCGAACUCACUAACCCGAGAGUGGUAGAGGUAGCUGGAAUUUCUUGUGUAGGAGUGAAAUCCGUAGAUAUAAGAAGGAACACCAAUGGCGUAGGCAGGCUACUGGACCAUUUCUGACGCUGAGGCACGAAAGCGUGGGGAGCGAA